Molecule: long non-coding RNA, 551 nt
Filed under: Homo sapiens (human)
Lineage: Eukaryota; Metazoa; Chordata; Mammalia; Primates; Hominidae
Description: non-protein coding lnc-SPRR2G-2:1
Source: RNAcentral
GAUUCUCUGAGACUGAGGAGAGAUGUCUUACCAGCAGCAGCAGUGCAAGCAGCCCUGCCAGCCACCUCCUGUGUGCCCCACGCCAAAGUGCCCAGAGCCAUGUCCACCCCCGAAGUGCCCUGAGCCUUACCUGCCUCCUCCUUGUCCACCUGAGCAUUGCCCACCUCCACCAUGCCAGGAUAAAUGCCCUCCUGUGCAACCAUACCCACCCUGCCAGCAGAAGUAUCCACCCAAGAGCAAGUAACAUCACUAGAAUUCAUCAGGACCAUGAAACAACAAGAUCCAGUGGCUCUUCUUACUCCCAGGACUCCAUCAUCUUCCCUUCAGCUGUAGUGGGAGGCUGCAUCUUCCCUAACCUCUGUCUGGCUUGAGCGUUGACAGAGAAAAGGCUUAGUUCUGAAAACCGAUAUGUUGUUGGAAGAUGAGCAGCCAGAUCACUGCCUAAUCUCGCUUUGCUGUCUGUGAUGUAGAUGGUGGUUCCUAUCCUGAGAGCAAGUGUGUUUAUUCUUUUGCUUCUCCCCAAUAAAGCACAUGUUUCAUGGUCAAGCCCA